GAUGAACGCUGGCGGCGUGCCUAAUACAUGCAAGUCGAGCGAACGGACGAGAAGCUUGCUUCUCUGAUGUUAGCGGCGGACGGGUGAGUAACACGUGGAUAACCUACCUAUAAGACUGGGAUAACUUCGGGAAACCGGAGCUAAUACCGGAUAAUAUUUUGAACCGCAUGGUUCAAAAGUGAAAGACGGUCUUGCUGUCACUUAUAGAUGGAUCCGCGCUGCAUUAGCUAGUUGGUAAGGUAACGGCUUACCAAGGCAACGAUGCAUAGCCGACCUGAGAGGGUGAUCGGCCACACUGGAACUGAGACACGGUCCAGACUCCUACGGGAGGCAGCAGUAGGGAAUCUUCCGCAAUGGGCGAAAGCCUGACGGAGCAACGCCGCGUGAGUGAUGAAGGUCUUCGGAUCGUAAAACUCUGUUAUUAGGGAAGAACAUAUGUGUAAGUAACUGUGCACAUCUUGACGGUACCUAAUCAGAAAGCCACGGCUAACUACGUGCCAGCAGCCGCGGUAAUACGUAGGUGGCAAGCGUUAUCCGGAAUUAUUGGGCGUAAAGCGCGCGUAGGCGGUUUUUUAAGUCUGAUGUGAAAGCCCACGGCUCAACCGUGGAGGGUCAUUGGAAACUGGAAAACUUGAGUGCAGAAGAGGAAAGUGGAAUUCCAUGUGUAGCGGUGAAAUGCGCAGAGAUAUGGAGGAACACCAGUGGCGAAGGCGACUUUCUGGUCUGUAACUGACGCUGAUGUGCGAAAGCGUGGGGAUCAAACAGGAUUAGAUACCCUGGUAGUCCACGCCGUAAACGAUGAGUGCUAAGUGUUAGGGGGUUUCCGCCCCUUAGUGCUGCAGCUAACGCAUUAAGCACUCCGCCUGGGGAGUACGACCGCAAGGUUGAAACUCAAAGGAAUUGACGGGGACCCGCACAAGCGGUGGAGCAUGUGGUUUAAUUCGAAGCAACGCGAAGAACCUUACCAAAUCUUGACAUCCUUUGACAACUCUAGAGAUAGAGCCUUCCCCUUCGGGGGACAAAGUGACAGGUGGUGCAUGGUUGUCGUCAGCUCGUGUCGUGAGAUGUUGGGUUAAGUCCCGCAACGAGCGCAACCCUUAAGCUUAGUUGCCAUCAUUAAGUUGGGCACUCUAAGUUGACUGCCGGUGACAAACCGGAGGAAGGUGGGGAUGACGUCAAAUCAUCAUGCCCCUUAUGAUUUGGGCUACACACGUGCUACAAUGGACAAUACAAAGGGCAGCGAAACCGCGAGGUCAAGCAAAUCCCAUAAAGUUGUUCUCAGUUCGGAUUGUAGUCUGCAACUCGACUACAUGAAGCUGGAAUCGCUAGUAAUCGUAGAUCAGCCAUGCUACGGUGAAUACGUUCCCGGGUCU
This 1373-nucleotide ribosomal RNA is filed under the name uncultured bacterium. RNAcentral describes it as "bacterial SSU rRNA". It matches the Rfam family "Bacterial small subunit ribosomal RNA", at positions 28 to 1381 of the family's 1533-position model. The record is from RNAcentral.